AAUGGGGGCAACCCUGAUCCAGCCAUGCCGCGUGAGUGAUGAAGGCCUUCGGGUUGUAAAGCUCUUUUGGUGGGGACGAUGAUGACGGUACCCACAGAAUAAGCUCCGGCUAACUUCGUGCCAGCAGCCGCGGUAAUACGAAGGGAGCUAGCGUUGUUCGGAAUUACUGGGCGUAAAGGGCGCGUAGGCGAUUUGGCAAGUUGGAUGUGAAAGCCCUGGGCUUAACCCGGGAAUUGCAUUCAAGACUGCCUUAAUUGAAUUCGGUAGAGGUGAGUGGAAUUCCCAGUGUAGAGGUGAAAUUCGUAGAGAUUGGGAAGAACACCCGUGGCGAAGGCGGCUCACUGGACCGACAUUGACGCUGAGGCGCGAAAGCGUGGGGAGCAAA
Molecule: ribosomal RNA, 385 nt
Filed under: uncultured bacterium
Lineage: Bacteria
Description: bacterial SSU rRNA
Rfam family: Bacterial small subunit ribosomal RNA
Source: RNAcentral